GAUGAUGUCGGGAAUUCCAAAGGGUUCGCCUCGGGUUUAUGAAAAAUUCGGGGCGGGUCCUUUCAAAUAAAAUAAUAAUUGGUAUAAUCAAUUUAGCCACCUCUAACAUCAUGAUUGAUUGUUAGUAGAGACACACCAGAUUGUCUUAAUUUUGAUAUUAGACCACUCUGUUAUUGUAAUGGCCCUUUUGUGGCUAGUUUGUAUUAGCCUUUUGUGUCUAGUGACUUUUUUGACUGAAUUAUGAAUGCAAUCAUAGAAUUUCGUAAAAAAAAAAAAAAUCAUGAUUGAUCUUGCUUUGGUACCACGUUUAUAGAGAACAACAACAUCCUUUUAUUUAUUGAUCAAGCAUAUCAUAGCAUGCGCAAGAUUUUAUCACACAACAAAAUAUAAAAUAAAAUAUUGGUGCAACCAC
RNAcentral lists this long non-coding RNA (412 nucleotides) under Prunus persica (peach). RNAcentral's name for it is "long non-coding RNA (PPER_LNC001376)". Lineage: Eukaryota; Viridiplantae; Streptophyta; Magnoliopsida; Rosales; Rosaceae. The record is from RNAcentral.